This 830-nucleotide ribosomal RNA is filed under the name uncultured Rhodocyclaceae bacterium. Its description in RNAcentral is "bacterial SSU rRNA". It matches the Rfam family "Bacterial small subunit ribosomal RNA", at positions 76 to 902 of the family's 1533-position model. Lineage: Bacteria; Pseudomonadati; Pseudomonadota; Betaproteobacteria; Rhodocyclales; Rhodocyclaceae. The record is from RNAcentral.
GGGGCAACCUGGCGGCGAGCGGCGAACGGGUGAGUAACACAUCGGAACGUACCCAGUGGUGGGGGAUAGCCCGGCGAAAGCCGGAUUAAUACCGCAUACGACCUGAGGGUGAAAGUGGGGGACCGCAAGGCCUCACGCCGUUGGAGCGGCCGAUGUCGGAUUAGCUAGUUGGUGGGGUAAAGGCCUACCAAGGCGACGAUCCGUAGCUGGUCUGAGAGGACGACCAGCCACACUGGAACUGAGACACGGUCCAGACUCCUACGGGAGGCAGCAGUGGGGAAUUUUGGACAAUGGGCGCAAGCCUGAUCCAGCCAUUCCGCGUGAGUGAAGAAGGCCUUCGGGUUGUAAAGCUCUUUCGGCAGGGAAGAAACGGCCCUAGCUAAUAUCUAGGGUUAAUGACGGUACCUGAAGAAGAAGCACCGGCUAACUACGUGCCAGCAGCCGCGGUAAUACGUAGGGUGCGAGCGUUAAUCGGAAUUACUGGGCGUAAAGCGUGCGCAGGCGGUUUUGUAAGACAGAUGUGAAAUCCCCGGGCUCAACCUGGGAACUGCGUUUGUGACUGCAAGACUCGAGUGCGGCAGAGGGGGGUGGAAUUCCACGUGUAGCAGUGAAAUGCGUAGAGAUGUGGAGGAACACCGAUGGCGAAGGCAGCCCCCUGGGUCGACACUGACGCUCAUGCACGAAAGCGUGGGGAGCAAACAGGAUUAGAUACCCUGGUAGUCCACGCCCUAAACGAUGCCAACUAGGUGUUGGGGAAGGAGACUUCCUUAGUACCGAAGCUAACGCGUGAAGUUGGCCGCCUGGGGAGUACGGUCGCAAGAUUAAAACUC